RNAcentral lists this long non-coding RNA (645 nucleotides) under Cricetulus griseus (Chinese hamster). Its description in RNAcentral is "lncRNA (ENSCGRG00015034117.1)". Lineage: Eukaryota; Metazoa; Chordata; Mammalia; Rodentia; Cricetidae. The record is from RNAcentral.
UGAACACUGUAGGAGCCCAGGAAGUCGGUUCUGAGUGUUGAAUGGGUGACAUAUAUCUGGGACCAAGUACUGUGAGUCAGGGCUGAAGACUGUUUUCACAGAUGCCAUCGGGACACAGUCACUCAUUCUUGACCUUCUGAUACCUCCAUCAUGCUAAGAAGACGCUGGCAUGGCUGGAGGAUUCCUAUAAUUUAAAACUGUGAUUUUUACCAUCUCCUCACUCUCCACAGAGGUCAAGAGGCUAGAUAAACAACUUCCUACAGCUGCUACGACAUCGGGUGCGCAUCCGCAGCAGAAAGUGUGUGCCGUGGAGAUAAACACAUCAGUUUUUAUGAUGCUGCCAGAAGUCUUCUCCCAUUUGCCUCAACUCAGUCUUCAGGGAAUCCCUCACUGCUCUCUGAAAGAUCUGGGAGAAUUGGAUGUAGAGUCCAGCCUGCCAUGAGUGUCCUACCAAGAGUGCUGAUGAACAAAUGAAGGAGUGCAUUAAGGCGCCCUGAAAGCAAGCUGUGAGAAGAGAUUGGGGUUUAUCAGCCUUUUAGCCAGGUUUCCUCUGGAAAGAACGCUUGCACACGCAAGUUCUGUCUGCACGUCCAUGCCCACCCUAGCGUCCCUCCCUGCUUGCUCCCCUUGAUAACUGUGAAUGCC